This 383-nucleotide ribosomal RNA is filed under the name uncultured eukaryote. RNAcentral's name for it is "SSU rRNA". It matches the Rfam family "Eukaryotic small subunit ribosomal RNA", at positions 587 to 972 of the family's 1831-position model. The record is from RNAcentral.
AGCUCUGCUAGCGUAUAUUAAAGUUGUUGCAGUUAAAAAGCUUGUAUUUGAAUUUCCGGUAGGAGUAAUUUUUCCAUCACUAUGUGGUGGUAAGUGAUUGUCUCUGGCCAUCCUCGGAAAAAUCUCACAUGGCAUUAGGUUGUCAAGUAAGCUGUUCCCAUUGUUUACUGUGAAAAAAAAUGAGUGUUCAAAGCAGGCUUAUGCCAUUGAAUAUAUUAGCAUGGAAUAAUUCAAUAGAAUCUUGGUACUAUUUUGUUUGUUUGCGCACCAGGAUAAUGAUUAAUAGGGACAGUUGGAGGUAUUCAUAUUUAAUUGUCAGAGUUGAAAUUGUUGGAUUCGUGGAAGACAACUUACUGCAAAAGCAUUUACCAAGAAUAUUUUCA